CUGUCUGCGGUGCAGGUUCCACUACCGGGUUGUGCCAGACUAGAUAUCCCAUUUGGCAACGCUGCAAAACUUAGAGCUGAACAUUAAUGAAUAGAAAGUGCAGGGACACGGAGCGGACGGGCGGGGGAGUGUAGUCACGGGGAACUCUGGAGGCGUUGGGGUUAGUGUUGUUGCAGCAGGGAGACAGACGGACAAACACACACAAACACACACAGAGGGAGGGGGCACAGGGUUUGCAAAGUGUGAACUCCAGCCACCCAAAUCCAAACUGGCAGCUGAAGCCGAGAGCUCCGGUUCUGAUCACGGGAAUGGAAGGCUCUUAUUUAACCCUAUCCUGGUCACCAAUGUGGCCUGAAGAGUUCCAGGUUGAAGUUUGGGGAAAAUCAGAGGAAGUAUAGAAACAUUAAAAAAUCGGAGCAGAUGUAUCAUAAUGGACAUAUGGAUCUGUGCACAUGAGUUACUGACUUUGGAUAAACGUCUGUAAAAUUCAACUUGUGCCAUUUCUUCAGUUUUGAAAGUGAUCUUUGCAAUUGCUUUGGACAGAACAAAAAUG
This is a long non-coding RNA of Rhincodon typus (whale shark), 553 nucleotides long. RefSeq lists it as uncharacterized. Lineage: Eukaryota; Metazoa; Chordata; Chondrichthyes; Orectolobiformes; Rhincodontidae. The record is from RefSeq and is a predicted model, not a curated record. The transcript is spliced from 3 exons.